RNAcentral lists this transfer RNA (72 nucleotides) under Capsicum annuum. It matches the Rfam family "tRNA". From Rfam's summary of the family: Transfer RNA (tRNA) molecules are approximately 80 nucleotides in length. Their secondary structure includes four short double-helical elements and three loops (D, anti-codon, and T loops). The record is from Rfam by way of RNAcentral. Lineage: Eukaryota; Viridiplantae; Streptophyta; Magnoliopsida; Solanales; Solanaceae.
GUGGAAAUAGCUUAAUGGUAUAGCAUAACCUUACCAAGGCUGAGGUUGGGGGUUUAAGUCCCUCCUUAUGCU